Molecule: ribosomal RNA, 484 nt
Filed under: uncultured bacterium
Lineage: Bacteria
Description: partial 16S ribosomal RNA
Rfam family: Bacterial small subunit ribosomal RNA
Source: RNAcentral
AUUGAACGCUGGCGGCAUGCUUUACACAUGCAAGUCGAACGGCAGCGCGGGCUUCGGCCUGGCGGCGAGUGGCGAACGGGUGAGUAAUACAUCGGAACGUGCCCAGUAGUGGGGGAUAGCUCGGCGAAAGCCGGAUUAAUACCGCAUACGACCUGAGGGUGAAAGCGGGGGAUCUUCGGACCUCGCGCUAUUGGAGCGGCCGAUGGCAGAUUAGCUAGUUGGUGGGGUAAAGGCCUACCAAGGCGACGAUCUGUAGCUGGUCUGAGAGGACGACCAGCCACACUGGGACUGAGACACGGCCCAGACUCCUACGGGAGGCAGCAGUGGGGAAUUUUGGACAAUGGGCGAAAGCCUGAUCCAGCAAUGCCGCGUGUGUGAUGAAGGUCUUCGGGUUGUAAAGCACUUUUGGCGGGAACGAAAAGGACUGUGCCAAUACCACGGUUCGAUGACGGUACCCGCAGAAUAAGCACCGGCUAACUACGUG